AUUGAACGCUGGCGGCAGGCCUAACACAUGCAAGUCGAACGAGCGGCGGACGGGUGAGUAAUGUCUGGGAAACUGCCUGAUGGAGGGGGAUACCUACUGGAAACGGUAGCUCAUACCGCAUACUAUCGGAUGAACCCAUUUGGGAUUAGCUCGUAGGUGGGGUAAAGGCUCACCUAGGCGACGAUCGCUAGCUGUUCUGAGAGGAUGAACAGCCACACUGGGCAUGAGACACGGGCCAGACUACUACGGGAGGCAGCAGUGGGGAAUAUUGCAUAAUGGGAGCAAGCCUGAUGCAGCCAUGCCGCGUGUAUGAAGAAGGCCUUAGGGUUGUAAAGGACUUUCAGCGGGGAGGCGUUACCCGCAGAAGAAGCACCGGCUAACUCCGUGCCAGCAGCCGCGGUAAGUC
Molecule: ribosomal RNA, 406 nt
Filed under: uncultured bacterium
Lineage: Bacteria
Description: partial 16S ribosomal RNA
Rfam family: Bacterial small subunit ribosomal RNA
Source: RNAcentral